Molecule: long non-coding RNA, 579 nt
Organism: Apis mellifera (honey bee)
Lineage: Eukaryota; Metazoa; Arthropoda; Insecta; Hymenoptera; Apidae
Exons: 2
Source: RefSeq, a predicted model, not a curated record
UCGAAACGUCCGGCAACGUCGUUGGUGCUGCGUCCGUGGUGUGAAUAUUUGCGAUUUAAACUAAAGAGGAGGAAGAAAUGGAAGGGUAAUUCUUAGGACGGUGCGGAGGCGCUCUCCUUGGCUUUGUUCGGGACCAAGCCCGGGGACAUCUUGUUCCCAGCGCUGAGAGUGAUCGCCGAGCCCGGCGAGUAUUUCUCGCGGGUCGCCUGCCGGCGACUCUUCACGGCCGGGGCCCGAUACUUCAUCCGCGCUUCGAGCCGUUCCUUGGCGAUGUUCGUCGCUGGGCUGACCGGCACCCGGGCGAUCCUCUCCUUGCACCAGGCCACGUGCCUGUCGUACGCCUUGACGCCGAAAUGACGAUUGCACGUGGGGCACAUGCCCUGCUCGUUGGCCCGCGUUGGCGCGCUCGACGUGAUCGUCGUGCUGCAUUGCUUUUGCAUGGUCGAGUCCACCUGAAACGAGAAAAAAAAUUAAAAGAAACGGGAACAACAUAAUAUGUAUCAUGAAGAAUAAUAUCGAUCGAAGAAUUUGAUAAUAUAAUUCCUGUUAAUCCACCAAUAGUAAAUAAUAUAAUGAAAC